This 100-nucleotide non-coding RNA is filed under the name Anaerotignum neopropionicum. Its description in RNAcentral is "Clostridium neopropionicum THF-I sequence". It matches the Rfam family "THF (Tetrahydrofolate) riboswitch aptamer". From Rfam's summary of the family: THF riboswitch presents a pseudoknot that joins P1-P2 and the loop of P3 and two THF binding. The record is from Rfam by way of RNAcentral. Lineage: Bacteria; Bacillati; Bacillota; Clostridia; Lachnospirales; Anaerotignaceae.
UACAGAGUAGGGCUUUGUGCGUUAAGUGUCUUGUGGACGGGGAGUUGCCACAGGAACGAAAAGGAUUUUCCUUGCGGUACAAACCCCGCAUCCCGCUGUC